This 619-nucleotide long non-coding RNA is filed under the name Pan troglodytes (chimpanzee). RNAcentral describes it as "long non-coding RNA NONPTRT006311". Lineage: Eukaryota; Metazoa; Chordata; Mammalia; Primates; Hominidae. The record is from RNAcentral.
CCGGAAUGGGGGAGGGCUGCGUGGAGGCAGGGGACUGGCCCUGAAGGCCAGAGAUGAUCUCCUGGGCUACAGAUCCCAGGCCCCUGGGGUGGGAUGGUGUGUGUGUUGGGGGCACCUGAGUUGCCCACCUCAGGGGAACUUGGGGGUCCUCCAGGGCCCCAACUGCGAAGCCCCUAUUGCUGUUUUUCCUAAGCCCCCAGGCCUAAAAGCUAGAGUCCCAGGGAGAAUAAAACAGCCUGAGCAAAAAGGCUCCAAGGCAGUUCAAAGACAGAGAGAGACUGAGGAUGAAGUUUUCAAGCCACAUCCAAGGGGAGGGCUUUUCAUCUGCCAGCCUUUGAAUCGGGAAUCAAGGCGGGCAAAGUUACUACCAGGUUAAAGUUUAAAUGGCACAGAAAGGGGAGACAGGAAGAUGAAACGACGGCCGUCUGGCCAGGGGAACAAAGCCGGAGCCCAGCCUGGCCACCUGGCCGCAGAGGCGCUGAGUGGUAGCAGUCCCAGCCAGGAGGGGCUGCGACGCUGCCAUUGUUCAGCUGAAGAACGAAAGUAAUUGAAAGGAAAGAAUCGCCCCGGAGCACUGCUGCUUGACUACCUACCAGCUGUGAUUUCUGGGGUCUUGAAG